GCGUGAGUGACGAAGGCCUUAGGGUUGUAAAACUCUUUCAUCGGUGAGGAUAAUGACAGUAGCCGAAGAAGAAGGACCGGCUAAUUCCGUGCCAGCAGCCGCGGUAAUACGGAAGGUCCUAGCGUUGUUCGGAAUUACUGGGCGUAAAGCGCAUGUAGGCGGAACAAAAAGUUAGAAGUGAAAUCCCUGGGCUCAACCUAGGAAUUGCUUUUAAAACUUUUGUUCUGGAAUUCAGGAGAGGAAAAUGGAAUUUCCAGUGUAGAGGUGAAAUUCGU
This 275-nucleotide ribosomal RNA is filed under the name uncultured bacterium. Its description in RNAcentral is "partial 16S ribosomal RNA". It matches the Rfam family "Bacterial small subunit ribosomal RNA", at positions 399 to 691 of the family's 1533-position model. The record is from RNAcentral.